AACACAGGUGGUUGUGUUCUAGCUGGUUGAGGGGUGAUGAGGUAUGACCCACAGCUGAACAGGGCAAACCAGGCAAUCUGUGGAGGGAGGCUGAGCUCAUUGGCUUGAGGUGUAAUGUCACAAACUGUGAGAUUGAGGCUCCUAUGGAACCCAAGGGAAGAAGUGAUGCUCUGGUGCUUUCUGGUGUAUAUCUACUGAUGCUAGGAAAAACUUGCUUCAGUGGUAUCUGCAGAUCAUGCUGGGAAGCGUCACUGCUUUGGGCGCUGAGCUGCUGGUAGAGGCAAAACUUGUGGAAAAUGCAGAUCCUUCCUUUAGCAAGAAAUAAACCACAGCACCAGCUCAGACCCAUCUGCAGCCCAUGGAGAAAGAUACUGCCCUCCUCAAUGCAUUUAAUCUUAGCAUCUCUCCAGCAUCAGAAAAGGGUCUUGCUGUGAAUUCCUGUUUGCUGUGGUAAAAUCAGCAUUGAUGGGGACUCACUGUUUCAGUACAGAACUCUACUUCUGUCUCUCCCCCACUGGUUUAUGUCGAAAACAUAAGAAAAAAUAUGAUGGAUGCAUGCUGUGCAGAACACAGAACAUAGCAAUGAGCCCACUCUUGCAGAGUACCUUGAGAAGGUUUCUCCUGCAAUUGUUUUGUAUGCAUGUACUGCAUGUAUUAAUGUACCUCCUUCCUCUCUAUCUCUGUAUUCUUUUUU
This is a long non-coding RNA of Gallus gallus (chicken), 694 nucleotides long. The record is from Ensembl. NCBI's taxonomy places the organism in Eukaryota, Metazoa, Chordata, Aves, Galliformes, Phasianidae.